This 500-nucleotide ribosomal RNA is filed under the name Clavibacter michiganensis. RNAcentral's name for it is "bacterial SSU rRNA". It matches the Rfam family "Bacterial small subunit ribosomal RNA", at positions 140 to 654 of the family's 1533-position model. Lineage: Bacteria; Bacillati; Actinomycetota; Actinomycetes; Micrococcales; Microbacteriaceae. The record is from RNAcentral.
GGGAUAACUGCUAGAAAUGGUAGCUAAUACCGGAUAUGACGAUUGGCCGCAUGGUCUGGUCGUGGAAAGAAUUUCGGUUGGGGAUGGACUCGCGGCCUAUCAGGUUGUUGGUGAGGUAAUGGCUCACCAAGCCUACGACGGGUAGCCGGCCUGAGAGGGUGACCGGCCACACUGGGACUGAGACACGGCCCAGACUCCUACGGGAGGCAGCAGUGGGGAAUAUUGCACAAUGGGCGAAAGCCUGAUGCAGCAACGCCGCGUGAGGGAUGACGGCCUUCGGGUUGUAAACCUCUUUUAGUAGGGAAGAAGCGAAAGUGACGGUACCUGCAGAAAAAGCACCGGCUAACUACGUGCCAGCAGCCGCGGUAAUACGUAGGGUGCAAGCGUUGUCCGGAAUUAUUGGGCGUAAAGAGCUCGUAGGCGGUUUGUCGCGUCUGCUGUGAAAUCCCGAGGCUCAACCUCGGGUCUGCAGUGGGUACGGGCAGACUAGAGUGCGGUAG